Molecule: long non-coding RNA, 1597 nt
Organism: Triticum aestivum (bread wheat)
Lineage: Eukaryota; Viridiplantae; Streptophyta; Magnoliopsida; Poales; Poaceae
Exons: 5
Source: RefSeq, a predicted model, not a curated record
CAAUACCCGGUCGUUGUGAGUACCGCGGGCCAAUCCUGCAUCAAACUUUGGCACGGGACUGGGACGAGUACUGGUGGUCGUCGUUAAUUUUCUACAGUACUACUCAGUCCUGGUACUACUAGCGAGUAUUUAUCGCUUUUAUAUCGAGAAAGAAGGAUAAGGGGUCAAGUUUAGGUAUCGUAACCUAAUUGAGAUCCACUUAUACGAUCUAUAGAACCAGAGCGGCGGAACCCCGGAUCGAAGGCAGCCAUCGGAGGGUGGUCACGAUCUGUUGAAAGGCGCUGAUGCGCCGAACCUGUCGUUGGGCGACGUCCACGGCAACAUCGAAUUCCCCGCCGCCUCCAGCGCCACCAAGAUCCGCCGCUUGAUGUGUGCAUCUCGUGGCCGGCGUCGUCCUGCCGUCGCCGCCAUCGGGGACACAGCAGGUGGCGAGCUUCGACUGGUGAAGGACGCACCGAUGUGCAGGGAUGCGUGUGCCGGUGGACCUGGCACCGGCGGCUGCCAGCAAGGAGAGGGCAAUCAUCUUGUAUAGGCCCGAGGCUGAGCACAAUCUCCUACUCGGCCCGUUCCGGCUGAGUGUCCCUCUCCACGUCAGCAGUGGCGGAGCCAGGAAAAUGAAAUGAGGAGGGCCGAAAGCUAUUAAGCUUUGUUAGGGAAGGCCAACACAUCAAGGUACACCAUUUUAACAGCAGAUAAUUACUUGCUCACAUGCAUAUUAGGCUUAAAUGACGGAUGUUAGGGGGGCCAGGGCCCCUGCUGGUCCCCCCUGUCUCCGCCACUGCACGUCAGCGCCGACUGAUCGAUUGGCUCAGUGACAUCCCUGGGCAGAAUCUGAGCCUGGCCGCCUCGCCGAUCCGUCGUCGCCGUGCUUCAGAAGGAUUCGGGACUUCACCAAGGUCUACAAUUCUUGAGAGCUCACUCUUCUCAUCAUGAACGGAUGGUCCACCGUGAUAGAAGUAUCAGAAGGCAUUGUAGUUGGUGAGGAAGAAUGACCUGGAAGUAACAAAUAUUUUGGGACAUGGUAGACACUUUAACUUCUCUUGUUUUCUCAUUUCCAAUAAUAUAAGAGCAGUGUGACUUGUCUUGCCGUUUUAUUUCAACUAAUAAUAGCCACUUCGCUUUGGCGGUGGAAUUAAAGCAAGAGAUCUGUCAGGACUAGCAUUAAGUAAGGCUGAAUUGGUUUCUAAACUUCAAGCUUUUGAGCAAGCGAAACAAGUACUCGAAGAAAAGUUCAAUGGCGUGGUGCAAGAAGUGUCCGAAAUUAAGUGUCUUCUGUCUGGUUGAUCUCUAAGUGAUAGUUCUUGUGAAAACUAGUGAUCAAGACUGAUGGUUCUACAUGCUAUAUAGAAGCAUCAAGGUUCUUUGUAAUUGCCGAUGAGGAAUGAUAUCCAUUCAAAUAACGAUGAUGUCCCUCGAUUGAAGAUUAAUAAUUAUUAUCUUUUCUAGUUUCCUGUUUUCCAGUUAGAUAUGAGCAAGUACAUUGUUCAUAUAAGGAGUGCUUUUGACUCAAUUUCUUAAAUGAUAUUGUAAUUUCAGAAUUGUAUGUCGGCAUUUUGGUAUUUCUAUUAAUAAACGACGCUAUCAUCCUUUCAAUUCA